Molecule: long non-coding RNA, 486 nt
Organism: Salarias fasciatus (jewelled blenny)
Lineage: Eukaryota; Metazoa; Chordata; Actinopteri; Blenniiformes; Blenniidae
Exons: 2
Source: RefSeq, a predicted model, not a curated record
CGGGAGCAGAGAGUCGCUCUGUCCUUCACUUCAGCAGCUUCUCCACUGAGCUUCACCAGACGAGCAGCAUGGUGGUCCAGGUCAUUGUUUACGGGGUCAAUAAGGAGAAGAUGACCAUCGACGUGUGUGACGCUGAGAAUGAACUGAAAAAAGUGACUUUGAAUCAACUGAAACAGAAAAUAGCGCGGAGGCUUCCUGGGAACGGAGAAUCUGCAAUGACUGACAUGAAGCUGAUCUUUGCUGGAGAAAGGCUGGAGGGAGACAAGCCUCUGUCUGAAUAUGGACUCGUGCACAGGUCCACCAUCCAGUUGGUGAUGACUCUGGAUGGAGGACUGACAACAUGACAACACAACAGAGACAAUGGCUGAAUUCUCUUCCCUGUGUCCUGAAGAUCAGACUACACCACUUUGUACUGUUUAUGCACUCUAAUUUGUUCUGUAUUAUGUUAGAAAAUAUGUAUUGCUGAUUAAAAGAAAAAACAACGUC